Molecule: ribosomal RNA, 496 nt
Filed under: uncultured bacterium
Lineage: Bacteria
Description: partial 16S ribosomal RNA
Rfam family: Bacterial small subunit ribosomal RNA
Source: RNAcentral
GACGAACGCUGGCGGCGUGCCUAAUACAUGCAAGUAGAACGCUGAAGCGAGGAGCUUGCUCUUCUUGGAUGAGUUGCGAACGGGUGAGUAACGCGUAGGUAACCUGCCUGGUAGCGGGGGAUAACUAUUGGAAACGAUAGCUAAUACCGCAUAACAACAGUUGUUGCAUGACAGCUGUUUAAAAGAUGCAAUUGCAUCACUACCAGAUGGACCUGCGUUGUAUUAGCUAGUUGGUGAGGUAACGGCUCACCAAGGCGACGAUACAUAGCCGACCUGAGAGGUGAUCGGCCACACUGGGACUGAGACACGGCCCAGACUCCUACGGGAGGCAGCAGUAGGGAAUCUUCGGCAAUGGGGGGAACCCUGACCGAGCAACGCCGCGUGAGUGAAGAAGGUUUUCGGAUCGUAAAGCUCUGUUGUAAGAGAAGAACGGGUGUGAGAGUGGAAAGUUCACACUGUGACGGUAUCUUACCAGAAAGGGACGGCUAACUACGUG